AUGCGCAACACCGUUGUCUUCCGCCUACAUGCAAUAACAUCACACUUUGAGAACCAUAGCCUCAUCUCGAUCUUCAGAUCGUCCAGGGCCGAGGCAUAUGCUGAGAAGCUUGGUUCCUUCUGCGUGAGGUCUGCUUGGAGGAGAUGCGAAUCAGUCUCGAUGCAGAUCCGGAUCAAACAAGCAAAAUUGUGGUUCUCCCCACCUCCGGCCGGAGCAUUAGACGGGUGGGAGGAUGUGGAGAUAGGAGAAAGAAGAGAUCAGCUGAGAGGCGGUGCUCGUGUGUCUUGGUUGAGGGAAGAGGAAAAUCAAUUUAUUUAUUUGGAGUAG
Molecule: ribosomal RNA, 327 nt
Filed under: Triticum aestivum (bread wheat)
Lineage: Eukaryota; Viridiplantae; Streptophyta; Magnoliopsida; Poales; Poaceae
Description: partial small subunit ribosomal RNA
Source: RNAcentral